RNAcentral lists this long non-coding RNA (217 nucleotides) under Lathyrus oleraceus (garden pea). RNAcentral describes it as "Pisum sativum (pea) long non-coding RNA (PSAT_LNC021009)". Lineage: Eukaryota; Viridiplantae; Streptophyta; Magnoliopsida; Fabales; Fabaceae. The record is from RNAcentral.
AGUAUUCUCCAAAAAAUGACCAAACCAUCUUUCAUUCUUGAUCACUAACAUAAUUUACUAACACAUUAUUAUAUUAGCUUUAUUUUAAUGUCAUUUAUUGUAUGCUUUUACUUCUCGUUAUUUACUUUAUGCUUUUAUUUUGGCAUCUCAUAUUUGUCGCGGUGAAGAAUCAGAGACCAAACUAUUGAUUAGACUUGACUCAUAAAUCAAAAUAUCA